This 441-nucleotide ribosomal RNA is filed under the name uncultured bacterium. RNAcentral describes it as "partial 16S ribosomal RNA". It matches the Rfam family "Bacterial small subunit ribosomal RNA", at positions 338 to 795 of the family's 1533-position model. The record is from RNAcentral.
CCUACGGGAGGCUGCAGUCGGGAAUAUUGCGCAAUGGAGGAAACUCUGACGCAGUGACGCCGCGUAUAGGAAGAAGGUCUUCGGAUUGUAAACUAUUGUCGUUAGGGAAGAGAAAGGACAGUACCUAAGGAGGAAGCUCCGGCUAACUACGUGCCAGCAGCCGCGGUAAUACGUAGGGAGCGAGCGUUAUCCGGAUUUAUUGGGUGUAAAGGGUGCGUAGAAGGGAAAAUAAGUUAGUUGUGAAAUCCCUCGGCUCAACUGAGGAACUGCAACUAAAACUAGUUUUCUUGAGUACAGGAGAGGAAAGUGGAAUUCGUGGUGUAGCGGUGAAAUGCGUAGAUAUUAGGAAGAACACCAGUGGCGAAGGCGACUUUCUAGACUGUAACUGACGUUGAGGCACGAAAGUGUGGGGAGCAAACAGGAUUAGAUACCCUGGUAGUC